AACAGGUCAUUGGCACUGCUGUAUCACAACAUCAUUUGCUGUAAGUUGUUUUUAACCAGCUGUUACUCACUUAUAACGGAUUAUCCCCCCUAUGUUGGGAUCACCGGGGCCUCCAUCGCCCGGCAUGUACACGCUACAUUAGGUGUAGGUGAACAACAUCAGAGUGCGGCAGUCAGAGAUCCUAAAGAAGGACUCCAUAUGUUUAGUCGAGACAGUACGCCGUACAUCUCUUACGACGAGGAUAUUUGUUUCAGGACCGCUUUCCCGAUACUGACAAGGACAUUUAAGCAAUUAUGUGAGCUGCAGUCUGGAUCCUGCCUCUGUCAGAUGACCUAACACAAAUGGAAAGAUGACAUCGACCCUUGCAAGGACUUCAGACGAUGCCAGCACUGGACUACAUACAGUGGUAAUCAUGGGUGCCCAAACUUGUGCAUGUCCCUGUACUGAUAUAUACUAUACAAAUAAUAUUUUCAGUAGUCGGUGUCAAAUUUUAUUUCAAGGUAAGAUAGCUUUACAUGUUUUUUAUUGUGCUUUAGUGAUCACACAGGCCCUUUUUAUGUUCUUAACCGGCAUGAGUUUAUUUAUUGUGAUAUACACAAAACAAGAUAUUUUGAUAAAUGAUGUUAAGUACACAGCUGCUCAUUUACUUCAAUAAAAUGUCUUUUUCCUAUUAUGGAAGUCAAUGGGUACCAUCAACUGUAUGAUUGACAUCAUUUAUCAGAUUAAAGAAUUUUUGGCAAGUUUAUAACAACAUGAAGUGUUUGGGUGAGAUCUAGACCGAGGACUAAGGUGUAUACUAGAACAGAACUAAGUUUUGUGGCUCACAGGUGAUCCUAAAACAACAAAGAGGAACCAUGGAGAGGAAGAAGUGGUGUCCAGAUGUUUAAAAGGCGGUGUUCGGGACAGGAAACGAAGGCAACAAAGAGGAACCUCUAAGGUUUAAAGGCACUGCUUGCAGAGACGAGUGCAGAAAAUAAAGCCAGAAGACCUGACGAGAUUGUUUUAUGAUUAAAUGUUUUUGUUAUGUACAUGCACAUUAUUAUUUACAAUAUAUUUCUAAGAUACAUAAAUAUGUGACCUUGUAUAUGAAAUCCAGGCUACUGUCUUAAAAUCUAAUGACAUCUAAAGUUUGAAUUUACUGAUUUAACAUUGAGUUCAGUCUUUGGCAUGACCUUACUCAGUCAGUAUUGAAGAUGUCAAGAUUAAUUUUUCAGAGAAUGUUUUCUGAAUUGUGUAGGAUGAUUUUAUGUAGAAAACAGUAAGUCACAAAGAAAUACUUUGCUGGGUUUUCACAGGCCGUGUUUUUCCCAUUUGUACAACAUAUGUGAAUUAUCUUGAGACUUAAACUUCUGAAAUCCAAACUGUUAUAUUUUAGCAUUUCAAAUGCAGCCACCCUUUGCCUAGAAUGUGAAAUAUAUACCCUUGGGUUUUUUCAGUAAUUUUUUGAGAUCUUUCAGUAAUUCUUUGAGAUAUUUUUAAAGAAAUUUCCAUGUAUUAUGGGCUUGAAUUACUUGUUUAUUUUAUCAUUUUGUCCAAGUAAUUUGAAAAAAGUUUUAAAUUAAAUUUUAGUUCUCAAUUGAAAUAAAUGUAUAUGUUGAGACUAUAUUUUUGUCCACAAACGUAAUUGAAUCAUAUACCUUAAGAGUAUAUUAUUUUGAAGGGUAUAAGAAAUAUUUUAGUUAAGUGUAAGUAAAACGUUUACACAGUAGUAUAGCAGUGUAUAAUAGUUACAGAAUAUGUAAUUUAUGUGUGACACAUCUAAAUAUUCUGUUACUGAUUUAUCCAAGUUGUUUAUGUGUUAUAUUUGUCAAAUGAAUAAAUUUGCAACGGUUAUUGACAGUGGUGUACUUGUUUUUAGUUAUUAUUGCAAAGAAGCACAUUAUUCUGAAUAAAUGUGAAUGAAUAAAGGUUAAAUUAAUAAAUAAAUGCCCGGUAAAGCCCGUGCAGAGCGGCUGAAAUUGCAUCGUUUAAACAUCGGCCCGAGGGCAUUUGCGACGAGAUGCCGACAUCUAGACGACAUCUUCCCAAUGAGCAAACGCUCCCUGAGCGACAUCUUGCCGAUGGAACUUUGAAAGUCGGCACAACGUCGGCCAGAUGUAUGUGUGCUGUCUGGGUUAUGUUGUCAUUUUGCUAUAGUAGUUAAAUGAUCAAAAUGAUGAAAUUAUCAAAAUGUUUAUGAUCAAAUUGAACCAAAAUAUUGAUUAAAUGUUGCGUUUGGACCAUUUUUGCGCUGGAAACCAUCAACUCUACCUGGCAACACUGUCCCCCACCAUAACGUAAAAUUUCUUGCACUACGGAAAGGAAACACGAAGUACAAACAUUUCAUAAUUUCAAGGUUUUAUAUUGCAUUAAAGAGCCACACAGAUCCAAAAUCGAAACUUACCUUUAUUGCAGUGUGUCGUGUAGCUGUCCAUCAAUGUAAACAACGUGUAAAGUAGUUGAACUAAAAAGUGCACGAUUAAUAAAGUUAUUGGCUUCUAAAGUAGGGAGUCGACUCUGAAUCGCUGAAACGAGUCGUUAUAGGGAGUGAGUCUUCUUCCUUAUAUUAUCCACGUCACACAAACUUAUCCACGUCACAUGAGAUACUAAUCUCCGCCUACAGCCUUGCCCGGGAGAAACGAAAACUAUGACCCGCCCACAGCUAGUUAGUGUGUGAGUGUAAACAUCAGCUCACGCUGUGUUUUCAGCUUGUGUUGUUUUCACUACCAAAGGAGACUUUUUCAAGGAGGGAUAUUCUAAACGUGUCUGGCUGUGAAGAAUCAGUGGUUAAAAUAAAUUUUUAUCGGAGGGAUUUAGACGUUUGGCAAUGAAAGUGGUUCAGUACCCACUUUAUUUGGAACAACAUGCGUCUCCUAACCACAAACUGUAAGUAUGAUUAUAGCUACAUACUUGCUUAAA
Molecule: non-coding RNA, 2898 nt
Organism: Paramisgurnus dabryanus
Lineage: Eukaryota; Metazoa; Chordata; Actinopteri; Cypriniformes; Cobitidae
Source: RefSeq, a predicted model, not a curated record